RNAcentral lists this ribosomal RNA (468 nucleotides) under Gemella morbillorum. RNAcentral describes it as "bacterial SSU rRNA". It matches the Rfam family "Bacterial small subunit ribosomal RNA", at positions 28 to 476 of the family's 1533-position model. Lineage: Bacteria; Bacillati; Bacillota; Bacilli; Caryophanales; Gemellaceae. The record is from RNAcentral.
GACGAACGCUGGCGGCGUGCCUAAUACAUGCAAGUCGAGCGAAGUUUUGCUGGUGCUUGCACUAGAAAAACUUAGCGGCGAACGGGUGAGUAACACGUAAAGAACCUGCCUCAUAGACUGGGACAACUAUUGGAAACGAUAGCUAAUACCGGAUAACAGUAUUUCUCGCAUGAGAGAUAUUUAAAAGUUGGUUAUGCUAACACUAUGAGAUGGCUUUGCGGUGCAUUAGCUAGUUGGUGGGGUAAAGGCCUACCAAGGCGACGAUGCAUAGCCGACCUGAGAGGGUGAUCGGCCACACUGGGACUGAGACACGGCCCAGACUCCUACGGGAGGCAGCAGUAGGGAAUCUUCCGCAAUGGGCGAAAGCCUGACGGAGCAACGCCGCGUGAGUGAAGAAGGAUUUCGGUUCGUAAAGCUCUGUUGUUAGGGAAGAAUGGAUAUGUAGUAACUAUACAUGUAAGAGACGGU